GACGGAGCCAAAGCUUUUUUGAAAAUAUGCCAUGACUUGGUCACAUUAACUACAAGCUGCAAGGCGUGUUGGUUUUCCCAAUCAUGCUGAACUUGACGAAAUAGAAAACAAAUGGGGUGUGACUUGAUGAAGGUUUUUAAAUACAAUAUGUAUCAGUUCAAGCUUUCAGAAUUGUUUGAGUUGAUUUGCCAGGUACAUGAUGAAUAAAUCAAAGGGGUGGAUUAUCAGGCUGGAAAGAUCUGGCCGAGACAAGGAGAUGGUCCACCACUUCAAUUACACGCUGGAACCCGUCCUCUUUUUCCUGCUAGCAUACGUUAAACCCAUGUGAAUUGCCUCUUGUUCAAUAUUCUGUUUGAAUUAUAGCAAUCUCUCUAUGUAUGGACCAUGGAGUUGUUAAUUUAUUCCGAAUUCCAAUUUCUAGAAAGGAGCUUCCACUCGUCGGGUCACCGAUCCCGUGGUGGAUUUGGCAGUUUACUCACUCUUCAAGCAUCUCUUCAUAAAUUUUGCCAAGAUGGAAGCCAACUUGUAGUUCAAUACAACGAAAUAAAUUGAAGAAAGUCUGAGAACUUCAGAAUUGUUAGCAUCUCCAUCCAAAAGGCAGCACGCCCCUUGUGGUUAGAAAGAGAGUAGUUUCCAAGUAAAUGAAGAUUUGUGUGCCUGAUUGAAAUAAACUCAUACAGGAACGAAUGAUUCAUGCUCUCAAUGCUUGAAGGUCAUACUUCGUAACAUUCCGCAUGCAAACAAUAUCAUAUGACAACAAUUUGGUUCCAUGGCCAAGAUAAAUAACAGGGUUCCAUAAGAUCAAAACUUCUAGCAACCAAAUUGUAGCUCGAGGAUACAAGUUUCAUACCAUGAGCUCAA
Long non-coding RNA from Populus euphratica (Euphrates poplar), 861 nucleotides. RefSeq lists it as uncharacterized. The record is from RefSeq and is a predicted model, not a curated record. The transcript has 2 exons. Lineage: Eukaryota; Viridiplantae; Streptophyta; Magnoliopsida; Malpighiales; Salicaceae.